GACAAACGCUGGCGGCGUGCUUAAUACAUGCAAGUCGAACGGAAAGGCCCUGCUUUUGUGGGGUGCUCGAGUGGCGAACGGGUGAGUAACACGUGAGUAACCUGCCCUUGACUUUGGGAUAACUUCAGGAAACUGGGGCUAAUACCGGAUAGGAGCUCCUGCUGCAUGGUGGGGGUUGGAAAGUUUCGGCGGUUGGGGAUGGACUCGCGGCUUAUCAGCUUGUUGGUGGGGUAGUGGCUUACCAAGGCUUUGACGGGUAGCCGGCCUGAGAGGGUGACCGGCCACAUUGGGACUGAGAUACGGCCCAGACUCCUACGGGAGGCAGCAGUGGGGAAUAUUGCACAAUGGGCGGAAGCCUGAUGCAGCAACGCCGCGUGCGGGAUGACGGCCUUCGGGUUGUAAACCGCUUUCGCCUGUGACGAAGCGUGAGUGACGGUAAUGGGUAAAGAAGCACCGGCUAACUACGUG
RNAcentral lists this ribosomal RNA (468 nucleotides) under uncultured bacterium. RNAcentral describes it as "partial 16S ribosomal RNA". It matches the Rfam family "Bacterial small subunit ribosomal RNA", at positions 28 to 507 of the family's 1533-position model. The record is from RNAcentral.